UGAGUGGCGAACUGGUGAGUAACACGUGGGAAACCUGCCCAGAAGCGGGGGAUAACACCUGGAAACAGAUGCUAAUACCGCAUAACAACUUGGACCGCAUGGUCCGAGCUUGAAAGAUGGCUUCGGCUAUCACUUUUGGAUGGUCCCGCGGCGUAUUAGCUAGAUGGUGGGGUAACGGCUCACCAUGGCAAUGAUACGUAGCCGACCUGAGAGGGUAAUCGGCCACAUUGGGACUGAGACACGGCCCAAACUCCUACGGGAGGCAGCAGUAGGGAAUCUUCCACAAUGGACGAAAGUCUGAUGGAGCAACGCCGCGUGAGUGAAGAAGGGUUUCGGCUCGUAAAACUCUGUUGUUAAAGAAGAACAUAUCUGAGAGUAACUGUUCAGGUAUUGACGGUAUUUAACCA
Molecule: ribosomal RNA, 407 nt
Filed under: Lactiplantibacillus plantarum
Lineage: Bacteria; Bacillati; Bacillota; Bacilli; Lactobacillales; Lactobacillaceae
Description: bacterial SSU rRNA
Rfam family: Bacterial small subunit ribosomal RNA
Source: RNAcentral